RNAcentral lists this ribosomal RNA (369 nucleotides) under Triticum aestivum (bread wheat). RNAcentral's name for it is "partial small subunit ribosomal RNA". Lineage: Eukaryota; Viridiplantae; Streptophyta; Magnoliopsida; Poales; Poaceae. The record is from RNAcentral.
AUGCCAGCAAACCCUCUUGCUAUACUCGUACUUGUACUUGUUUAUUUUCUUGUUUGGAAAAUGGUUUCUUAUCCUCCUAACAACUUUUCUCUGUCGCUGCAGCGCCCCGGCCGUUCAUUGACACCAUCCUGGGUCGUUCAACAUGACAGUGCCAAGCCGUUCGAUGCCCCUGCUCGGGAGGUGCCCGUCACAGCUUUCCCCACACCUCCUAUUGCAUGUUCAUGCUCCUUCUAUUGUGUACAUUUUGUUCAACAUCUGGUGGUUUUUCAGUUCACCAUAGAUGUGCAUUUUCAGCUUCAUCUUGCAGGUAUGAUCAUUCUCUGGCCUGCUAAUGUCUUUUGCAGUAACUUUGUACACAAAAUGAUAUAA